RNAcentral lists this ribosomal RNA (476 nucleotides) under uncultured soil bacterium. RNAcentral's name for it is "bacterial SSU rRNA". It matches the Rfam family "Bacterial small subunit ribosomal RNA", at positions 26 to 519 of the family's 1533-position model. The record is from RNAcentral.
AGGACGAACGCUGGCGGCGUGCUUAACACAUGCAAGUCGAGCGGUAAGGCCUUUCGGGGCACACGAGCGGCGAACGGGUGAGUAACACGUGGGUGAUCUGCCCUGCACUCUGGGAUAAGCCUGGGAAACUGGGUCUAAUACCGGAUAUGACCUGCUCUCGCAUGGGGGUGGGUGGAAAGAUUUAUCGGUGCAGGAUGGGCCCGCGGCCUAUCAGCUUGUUGGUGGGGUAAUGGCCUACCAAGGCGACGACGGGUAGCCGACCUGAGAGGGUGACCGGCCACACUGGGACUGAGACACGGCCCAGACUCCUACGGGAGGCAGCAGUGGGAAUAUGCACAAUGGGCGAAAGCCUGACUGCAGCGACGCCGCGUGAGGAUGAAGGCCGUUCGGGUUGUAAACCUCUUUCAGCAGGACGAAGCGCAAGUGACGGUACCUGACAGAAGAAGCACCGACUAACUACGCGACCACGACGCCGC